Molecule: ribosomal RNA, 452 nt
Filed under: uncultured bacterium
Lineage: Bacteria
Description: bacterial SSU rRNA
Rfam family: Bacterial small subunit ribosomal RNA
Source: RNAcentral
UACCAGACUCCUACGGGAGGCAGCAGUCGGGAAUAUUGCGCAAUGGAGGAAACUCUGACGCAGUGACGCCGCGUGCAGGAAGAAGGUUUUCGGAUUGUAAACUGCUUUAGACAGGGAAGAAAGAAAUGACGGUACCUGUAGAAUAAGCUCCGGCUAACUCCGUGCCAGCAGCCGCGGUAAUACGGAGGAUCCGAGCGUUAUCCGGAUUCAUUGGGUUUAAAGGGUGCGUAGGUUGUUUUAUAAGUUAGCGGUGAAAUACCGAUGCUCAACAUCGGGGCUGCCGCUAAUACUGUAGGACUAGAGAUCGGAUGCAGCAGGCGGAAUGUGUAGUGUAGCGGUGAAAUGCAUAGAUAUUACACAGAACACCGAUUGCGAAGGCAGCUUGCUAGGCCGGAUCUGACACUGAUGCACGAAAGCGUGGGGAUCGAACAGGAUUAGAUACCCCAGUACAC